GGAGAAGUGGCGUAACGGUAUCGCAGUGCCCUGCUAAGGCAUCCAGGUUAAUACCCUGUGCGAGUUCGACUCUCGCCUUCUCCGCCA
Molecule: transfer RNA, 87 nt
Filed under: Bacteroidota bacterium
Lineage: Bacteria; Pseudomonadati; Bacteroidota
Description: Bacteroidetes bacterium tRNA-Ser
Rfam family: tRNA
About the family: Transfer RNA (tRNA) molecules are approximately 80 nucleotides in length. Their secondary structure includes four short double-helical elements and three loops (D, anti-codon, and T loops).
Source: RNAcentral